Molecule: non-coding RNA, 393 nt
Organism: Theobroma cacao (cacao)
Lineage: Eukaryota; Viridiplantae; Streptophyta; Magnoliopsida; Malvales; Malvaceae
Source: RefSeq, a predicted model, not a curated record
UGAAAAUUCAAGGAAACAAGUGAAAAAAAGGUGGUGAGUAUUCUGGCAAAAGUAAAGAGAUAGUACCCGAGGAUCAAGAAUCAGAGUACUCGAAAUUCGAUUCCCAUUAUAGUGGUGAGUCUUCCGAUAAAGGCAAGAAAAUUGCAUCCGAGAACCAAUAGUCAGAGUACUUCAAAAAUCCGCACUCUAGAUAUUGCUCAGUAUAGGCAAUAGAUAGCUGAUAUCGUCGAAGGCUACAAUUGGCUUUACUUCCUAAAAAAUUGUAGGUUUGCAACCUUUGUUCAUAUUUGUCAUUUAGGGGCCCACAUGUCACUGUAAAUUAAAUUUCAUACUCUAGUUAUCUAUACUACUGUAUAUAGAAAUUUAUUUUGCUUUUACGCUGUAAAAAUUAUU